UUACCGAGUGCUGGCUUCGGCCGACUCCCGUCCUGUGUCUUAACUGUCUGUUGCUUCGGCGAGGACGCUCGUCGGGGUUUCUUAUGCUUCGAUGGGGACGCUCAUCUGAAGCACAUCUUUUGCUUCGGCGGGGAAACUCGCCAAAGCACCUUUUGAAUCUUGUCAUUUGGCUGUCCGAGUUUGAAAAACAGAAAGCAAAACUUUCAACAACGGAUCUCUUGGUUCCGGCAACGAUGAAGAACGCAGCGAAAUGCGAUAAGUAAUGUGAAUUGCAGAAUUCAGUGAAUCAUCGAAUCUUUGAACGUACAUUGCACUCUCUGGCAUUCCGGAGAGUACAUCUGUUCGAGCGUCAGUUCAACCUUCAAGCACAGCUUGGUGUUGGAGGCUUUGCACCGCAAACCUCCGAAACUUCGUUCCUGUCACGGGGCAGCGAGCUUUACGCACCGCCUCAAUGACUCUCACGUUUGACCUCGAAUCAGAUGAGAAUACCCGCUGAACUUAA
RNAcentral lists this ribosomal RNA (502 nucleotides) under uncultured Diaporthales. RNAcentral's name for it is "eukaryotic LSU rRNA". The stretch from base 199 to 352 matches the Rfam family "5.8S ribosomal RNA". The record is from RNAcentral. Lineage: Eukaryota; Fungi; Ascomycota; Sordariomycetes; Diaporthales.